RNAcentral lists this RNase P RNA (342 nucleotides) under Oribacterium sp. oral taxon 102. Its description in RNAcentral is "RNase P RNA component class A". It matches the Rfam family "Bacterial RNase P class A". Rfam says of the family: Ribonuclease P (RNase P) is a ubiquitous endoribonuclease, found in archaea, bacteria and eukarya as well as chloroplasts and mitochondria. Lineage: Bacteria; Bacillati; Bacillota; Clostridia; Lachnospirales; Lachnospiraceae. The record is from RNAcentral. RNAcentral also lists the same sequence under 1 other name.
CGAGUAUCGCGGAUGGUCGCUGCCGGAAUCGCGAGAGCGUCCGGGAGAGGAAAGUCCGGGCUUCACAGAGCAGGAUGCCUGAUAACGUCAGGUUGAGGCGACUCACAGGACAGUGCAACAGAAAAGAACCGCCGGAAACGGUAAGGGUGCAAAGGCAGUGUAAGAGACUACCGGUUCUCUGGCAACAGGGAACGCUGUGUAAACCCCAUUCGAAGCAAGACCAAACAGAGAGCACAGGGCUGCUCGUCCGCUCUCGGGUAGGUUGCUGGAGGCGCAUGGCGACGUGCGUCCUAGAUAGAUGACCAUCGAUUACAUAACCCGGCUUACAGCGGCACUCGUUUU